AGUUUGAUCCUGGCUCAGGAUGAACGCUGGCGGCGUGCCUAAUACAUGCAAGUCGAGCGAACGGACGAGAAGCUUGCUUCUCUGAUGUUAGCGGCGGACGGGUGAGUAACACGUGGAUAACCUACCUAUAAGACUGGGAUAACUUCGGGAAACCGGAGCUAAUACCGGAUAAUAUUUUGAACCGCAUGGUUCAAAAGUGAAAGACGGUCUUGCUGUCACUUAUAGAUGGAUCCGCGCUGCAUUAGCUAGUUGGUAAGGUAACGGCUUACCAAGGCAACGAUGCAUAGCCGACCUGAGAGGGUGAUCGGCCACACUGGAACUGAGACACGGUCCAGACUCCUACGGGAGGCAGCAGUAGGGAAUCUUCCGCAAUGGGCGAAAGCCUGACGGAGCAACGCCGCGUGAGUGAUGAAGGUCUUCGGAUCGUAAAACUCUGUUAUUAGGGAAGAACAUAUGUGUAAGUAACUGUGCUUAUCUUGACGGUACCUAAUCAGAAAGCCACGGCUAACUACGUGCCAGCAGCCGCGGUAAUACGUAGGUGGCAAGCGUUAUCCGGAAUUAUUGGGCGUAAAGCGCGCGUAGGCGGUUUUUUAAGUCUGAUGUGAAAGCCCACGGCUCAACCGUGGAGGGUCAUUGGAAACUGGAAAACUUGAGUGCAGAAGAGGAAAGUGGAAUUCCAUGUGUAGCGGUGAAAUGCGCAGAGAUAUGGAGGAACACCAGUGGCGAAGGCGACUUUCUGGUCUGUAACUGACGCUGAUGUGCGAAAGCGUGGGGAUCAAUCAGGAUUAGAUUCCCUGGUAGUCCACGCCGUAAACGAUGAGUGCUAAGUGUUAGGGGGUUUCCGCCCCUUAGUGCUGCAGCUAACGCAUUAAGCACUCCGCCUGGGGAGUACGACCGCAAGGUUGAAACUCAAAGGAAUUGACGGGGACCCGCACAAGCGGUGGAGCAUGUGGUUUAAUUCGAAGCAACGCGAAGAACCUUACCAAAUCUUGACAUCCUUUGACAACUCUAGAGAUAGAGCCUUCCCCUUCGGGGGACAAAGUGACAGGUGGUGCAUGGUUGUCGUCAGCUCGUGUCGUGAGAUGUUGGGUUAAGUCCCGCAACGAGCGCAACCCUUAAGCUUAGUUGCCAUCAUUAAGUUGCGCACUCUAAGUUGACUGCCGGUGACC
This 1169-nucleotide ribosomal RNA is filed under the name Staphylococcus aureus. RNAcentral describes it as "bacterial SSU rRNA". It matches the Rfam family "Bacterial small subunit ribosomal RNA", at positions 10 to 1160 of the family's 1533-position model. The record is from RNAcentral. Lineage: Bacteria; Bacillati; Bacillota; Bacilli; Caryophanales; Staphylococcaceae.